GCUCCUAUUAGCCCAAGAAUGGAAUUUAUCAGAUGUUAAAAGCAAGAGAGAGAGAGAGAGAGAGAAAACCAAAGAUUUUUGUGUUCUAGACAAGUUACGAGAUUUUCUGUUCAGUGAAAAGGAAAAAAAAAAAAAAGUAAAAUAAAUAGUGUCACGCAUUAGUUUCCUUUUCUUUACUUUCUUAAUUUAAAAUAUAAAAAAAAAAUACAUUAAUAAAUUACCUUAAAUUUUCAUUUAAUUUAACUAAUAAAUAUUAAUUACUAAUCUAAUGACCCUUCAAUAUACAUAUAUAUAUAUACAUAUAUA
Molecule: long non-coding RNA, 306 nt
Filed under: Carica papaya (papaya)
Lineage: Eukaryota; Viridiplantae; Streptophyta; Magnoliopsida; Brassicales; Caricaceae
Description: long non-coding RNA (CPAP_LNC005412)
Source: RNAcentral